CCCUUAGAUGUUCUGGGCCGCACGCGUGCUACACUGAGUAAUUCAAUGGGUAAGGGAACGCUAGAGCAUUACCUAAUCUUGAAAUUUGCUCGUGAUGGGGAUCGACGGUUGCAAUUUUCCGUCGUGAACGAGGAAUACCUUGUAGGCGCAUGUCAUCAUCAUGCGCCGAAUACGUCUCUGCCCUUUGUACACACCGCCCGUCGCUCCUACCGAUUGAGUGAUCCGGUGAGGCUCUGGGACCUGGACGGAAAGAGCGUUUCGCUUGUUCUGUUUGGGAAACUUGGUCGAACCUUAUCAUUUAGAGGAAGGAGAAGUCGUAACA
RNAcentral lists this ribosomal RNA (322 nucleotides) under uncultured eukaryote. RNAcentral describes it as "partial 18S ribosomal RNA". It matches the Rfam family "Eukaryotic small subunit ribosomal RNA", at positions 1470 to 1796 of the family's 1831-position model. The record is from RNAcentral.